This 1480-nucleotide ribosomal RNA is filed under the name uncultured Bordetella sp. RNAcentral's name for it is "partial 16S-23S ribosomal RNA intergenic spacer". It matches the Rfam family "Bacterial small subunit ribosomal RNA". Lineage: Bacteria; Pseudomonadati; Pseudomonadota; Betaproteobacteria; Burkholderiales; Alcaligenaceae. The record is from RNAcentral.
GGUUCGAUCCUGGCUCAGAUUGAACGCUGGCGGGAUGCUUUACACAUGCAAGUCGAACGGCAGCACGGACUUCGGUCUGGUGGCGAGUGGCGAACAGGUGAGAGUAAUGUAUCGGGACGUGCCUAGUAGCGGGGAUAACUACGCGAAAGCGUAGCUAAUACCGCAUACGCCCUUCGGGGGAAAGCGGGGGACGGGCUCGCACUAUUAGAGCGGCCGAUAUCGGAUUAGCUAGUUGGUGGGGUAACGGCUCGCAAGGCGACGAUCCGUAGCUGGUUUGAGAGGACGACCAGCCACACUGGGACUGAGACACGGCCCAGACUCCUACGGGAGGCAGCAGUGGGGGAAUUUUGGACAAUGGGGGAAACCCUGAUCCAGCCAUCCCGCGUGUGCGAUGAAGGCCUUCAGGUUGUAAACACUUUUGGCAGGAAAGAAACGGCACGGGAUAAUACCCCGUGCAACUGACGGUACCUGCAGAAUAAGCACCGGCUAACUACGUGCCAGCAGCCGCGGUAAUACGUAGGGUGCAAGCGUUAAUCAGGUAUUACUGGGCGUAAAGCGUGCGCAGGCGGUUCGGAAAGAAGAUGUGAAAUCCCAGAGCUUAACUUUGGAACUGCAUUUUUAACUACCGAGCUAGAGUGUCAGAGGGAGGUGGAAUUCCGCUGUGUAGCAGUGAAAUGCGUAGAUAUGCCGGAGGAACACCGAUGGCGAAGGCAGCCUCCUGGGAUAACACUGACGCUCAUGCACAGCGUGGGGAGCAAACAGGAUUAGAUACCCUGGUAGUCCACGCCCUAAACGAUGUCAACUAGCUGUUGGGGCCUUCGGGCCUUGGUAGCGCAACUAACGCGUGAAGUUGACCGCCUGGGAAGUACGGUCGCAGAUUAAAACUCAAAGGAAUUGACGGGGACCCGCACAAGCGGUGGAUGAUGUGGAUUAAUUCGAUGCAACGCAGAAAAACCUUACCUACCCUUGACAUGUCUGGAAUCCCGAAGAGAUUUGGGAGUGCUCGCAAGAGAACCGGAACACAGGUGCUGCAUGGCUGUCGUCAGCUCAUGUCGUGAGAUGUUGGGUUAAGUCCCGCAACGAGCGCAACCCUUGUCAUUAGUUGCUACGAAAGGGCACUCUAAUGAGACUGCCGGUGACAAACCGGAGGAAGGUGGGGAUGACGUCAAGUCCUCAUGGCCCCCUUAUGGGUAGGGCUUCACACGUCAUACAAUGGUCGGGACAGAGGGUCGCCAACCCGCGAGGGGAGCCAAUCCCAGAAACCCGAUCGUAGUCCGGAUCGCAGUCUGCAACUCGACUGCGUGAAGUCGGAAUCGCUAGUAAUCGCGGAUCAGCAUGUCGCGGUGAAUACGUUCCCGGGUCUUGUACACACCGCCCGUCACACCAUGGGAGUGGGUUUUACCAGAAGUAGUUAGCCUAACCGUAAGGAGGCGAUUACCACGGUAGGAUUCAUGACUGGGGUGAAGUCGUAACAAGGUAA